This 930-nucleotide ribosomal RNA is filed under the name marine metagenome. Its description in RNAcentral is "bacterial SSU rRNA". It matches the Rfam family "Bacterial small subunit ribosomal RNA", at positions 163 to 1125 of the family's 1533-position model. The record is from RNAcentral.
CUAAUACUGGAUAAGUCUUUACGGAGAAAGCUUUAUGCACCAUUGGAUGAGCCCGCACUUGAUUAGUUUGUUGGUGGGGUAAUGGCCUACCAAGACUUUGAUCAAUAGCUGAUUUGAGAGGAUGAUCAGCCACAUUGGGACUGAGACACGGCCCAAACUCCUACGGGAGGCAGCAGUGGGGAAUCUUGCACAAUGGAGGAAACUCUGAUGCAGCGAUGCCGCGUGAGUGAAGAAGGCCCUUGGGUUGUAAAGCUCUUUCGUCGGGGAAGAAAAUGACUGUACCCGAAUAAGAAGGUCCGGCUAACUUCGUGCCAGCAGCCGCGGUAAUACGAAGGGACCUAGCGUAGUUCGGAAUUACUGGGCUUAAAGAGUUCGUAGGUGGUUGAAAAAGUUGGUGGUGAAAUCCCAGAGCUUAACUCUGGAACUGCCAUCAAAACUUUUCAGCUAGAGUUUGAUAGAGGAAAGCAGAAUUUCUAGUGUAGAGGUGAAAUUCGUAGAUAUUAGAAAGAAUACCAAUUGCGAAGGCAGCUUUCUGGAUCAUUACUGACGCUGAGGAACGAAAGCAUGGGUAGCGAAGAGGAUUAGAUACCCUCGUAGUCCAUGCCGUAAACGAUGUGUGUUAGACGUUGGAAAUUUAUUUUCAGUGUCGCAGCGAAAGCGAUAAACACACCGCCUGGGGAGUACGACCGCAAGGUUAAAACUCAAAUGAAUUGACGGGGACCCGCACAAGUAGUGGAGCAUGUGGUUUAAUUCGAAGAUACGCGCAGAACCUUACCAACACUUGACAUGUUCGUCGCGACUUUAAGAGAUUAAAGUUUUCGGUUCGGCCGGACGAAACACAGGUGCUGCAUGGCUGUCGUCAGCUCGUGUCGUGAGAUGUUGGGUUAAGUCCCGCAACGAGCGCAACCCUCACUUUUAGUUGCCAUCAUU